This is a long non-coding RNA of Zea mays, 2612 nucleotides long. RefSeq lists it as uncharacterized. The record is from RefSeq and is a predicted model, not a curated record. Lineage: Eukaryota; Viridiplantae; Streptophyta; Magnoliopsida; Poales; Poaceae. The transcript has 8 exons.
GACCCUUCGCUCUCGCCUUUUCACUCACAUAGAUCACCGGCGUCGCGCUGUGCUGUACACCCUCGCCCUCCUCGCAUCACCCGCCACCGCGUCUUCUCUCAUGAUGCCGCUCGCUCUACCGCUCCUUCGGCUUGCCACUACAUCGUCGUCUCGCUCGCUCCUCGCCAACGCUCACUGCCUUGCCGCUGCUCGCAGGCUUCUCCGCUCGCUCCACCGCCUCCGCCACAUCCUCGGCUGAGAAAUAAAGAACCCUAACUCCCCCCGCCGUGGUGGCCGCGCAGGCCCGACCGGCACCAAUAUCAAAGAUCUUGCGGUCGUGGAUGGCGUAGGGUGUGACCUGUACUGGGGGAGACGGACGUUCGACGCGGCCGCCGAGCAGACGCUGUCGUACUGGACCGUACUCCUCUCUUCCUGUGCUCCUCCAUUUCAAUUCCAUGGCUCCGCCUCCGUCUAACUAAUUGAUGAUGAAAAUUGGUUCAUCAGUCUCACGGUAUCAUUAAAUUUGAUUCCUAUACUAUGCUUGCGAUUCUGUGUCAUCUGCUUGUUUUUUGUUGGAUUGGACCAAACUUUUGGACAGUUGGACGCAUGGAGUAUCGAAGAGGAGUCUGAGAUUUGUUCUCUGUUCGUCAGCUAUGGAGGAGCUGAAGAACACGAGCCCACGAGGCAGCGCAGGGACAAGAAGUGCCAUAUUGGAGAGAUAGCUGCAAAGUCAUCCGAGCCUAGAAUAGCCGGUUCAAAACGACGAUGAAGGCGUUAUCCACGUCGGCAGAAAUUCUCCAAGCCGCCCGAUCGUGAAUCAAUGGCAUUCAUUGCGGUCUCGAUAGCGUGUGGAAUACGACUCUCACCCCCUCGUUCCGAGGAGCGAGGAGCAGGCCGCCUGCGUAAUGUCGAAGUACUCGAUCAGCAGCUUCUCUUCUCGACGUGGCGCCUCCGCCACCCUCCUCCCCGCGCGAGUACCUCUGGUCUGGGCUCCAGCACGCUGAAUUAGUGCAUCAAGGUUCAUGACUCAGACUGCAUAUGGCACUAUCAAAACCUGUUUACACGAAACACGGUGUUAUGAAGUCAAGUUACAAAUGGAGCAUGUUAGCCCAAAUAGGAAAAGAAAGCUAAGUAAGUGAUCUCGCACCAACUUAAUUCAGAACAAGCAACAAAAAAGGAUGAAUAUCUUACUAGAUGUCUACCUUGUGAUUUGUUCAUGAAAUUUGUCAUGAAGAUCAUACUAAUGUGUGCUAUGCCCCUUUGAGCAUACCUCGUGUCGAAGCACGCCAUGUGCAUAGAGAAUUGCUAAACCAGCAAAGAUAAUUAUCAACAGGUACCAUAGUAAAUACAUUGUUAUAAUGGUGUGCGCCAGAAAAGAAAAAAUUUAUUAGGUGCGGCCACACCCUCUCAACGGCGUGUCACUUCGCAUUGUGGCCACUUUGAUCCGGAUUUAGUUAAAACUCUAAAAGGUACAAAUCAUUCUGCCACUUUUUUAUCCAAGGUAUUUCCUUUCUAUUCUACCUACAAUUCUUUACCUGCUUACAUGGUUUCCUGUAAGUUUGUUACUAUCUCAUUGUAGUCAACAUAUUUCCCUCAUGGUUUAUGUACGUGCAGUUGGUCCACGAAGAGAUUUGGCUAAUCAAAGGCACAUCAGGCUGGGAUCCAGUCAAUUAAGGUUUUGUCUUACUUACCUCGGGUGAAGACAAGGCUUUUUUAUGCACUGAGGUUGCUCUCGGUUGCACUGCAGAAAUAUUUAACAUGCAUCCUACAUUAUUUGGUUACUUUAUGACCAAGGAAUACUUGAUACAGAGAACGUCUUGCUCUAUCAGAGGGUACCAGCUUUAAAUCAAAAACCAAAUUUCAGAGAAAAAAAUACAGAUGCCAAUAUCAAUCUUGGGCCCAUCUCCUGUACUGAAAUCAGCCCAAACAACAUGGUUCCAAGAAAUUGGGUGUGCUGUGGCGACCGGGCUUUCCCUACGGGCUGGUCAUCAUUUCGGGAGCGUCGUGGCUACCUCCGGUGCUGCGGCCAGCGCGACUAGGCCAGAUCGACCCAGCGCGAUGACGGCUGUGCGCGGCGUCCUCGGACAUCGCUCCGCCAGCUCAAAUCUCCAAGCGCUCGAGCUCGGAACUCCUCCAACCGGUCAUCAGCUGCCAGCAAUCGACCUCCAUCCGCAGAGCACUCACCGAAAGGUGGCUCUGGAUAUCUCCUGCUCUAACAGCUCCACAAAAAUUGCAUUCAACACAGGCGACAAACAUUCGAGAACAGAGGUAGUACAAAACAUGUACUGUUGUACAUGAUAUGCUAGUCUAUAAUCAAGAACGAUAGCAGACGCCUUCGCAACACGACUCAGGAUACCCGCACAUAGGAGCUGCUACAGUGAACUACCUACGUCAAAAGAUGGUGCUGGCAGGAUUCCGCUCGAAAAGAUCCCUAGGAUAUAGUACGACCAUAGCAUACCGAUGCUAGGUAGAGAUUCUUAGACCAUUUGUCCUGCAAUGAAACAAGAGUACAUUUUGUCAGAACCAGCCGUCAGUUGCAGAUAAGAUACUGAAUGAGGUACUACUGCAGGCUUGUUAACCUUCACAUGUUUACUAGGGAAAUUAAUUGUCCUCAGUGUCUCUUGGGUUUCAUC